This 1037-nucleotide long non-coding RNA is filed under the name Ictidomys tridecemlineatus (thirteen-lined ground squirrel). Its description in RNAcentral is "lncRNA (ENSSTOG00000034803.1)". Lineage: Eukaryota; Metazoa; Chordata; Mammalia; Rodentia; Sciuridae. The record is from RNAcentral.
ACUCAGGGAAAUCUCGACCCACCCAGCAGAAAUGCUAAACCCACAUCCUCCUGCUUCGGUAAGCAAAGGUCCGAGCUAAUCAGGGUUUAGCAUCAUCUCCAGCGCAACUGUAGCUGGGGCUGGCUUCUGGCAAAUUGUUUCUUCAUGGAAACAUCAAAUGAGUGGAAAAACUCCAAGGAGCAGGACCAUCUGCUGCACUAUGACAGGCCCUGUGACAAAAGUAAUCCAUCAAAGCAAAAUGUCACGCACACGGAGUUGAUCUUGCAUUUUCUGCUCCGAUAAGAAAAAGGUAAAUUCCCCUUGGGGCUUUUGAACAAAUAAUUUUUUGAAAAUAAUAUGCUUCCAAUUUGGGGAACAUUUUAAUACCUUAGCCAGAUGCACUUUUUAAUGUUUUGGGUAUGUUCAAAAUGCUACAACAGUCCUGGAAGCAAAUGUGUACCUCAUUUGAAUUUAUAAUUUAAAUUUUUUAAAAGGCCACUCAGGACUGACAAUGUGGAGGUUCUGAAUGUCUACCCUGAAGCCUCUAACUUCUCUUUCUUCUCAUUUCCCGCUUACAGGAGCAAAGUGGAAAUCCCUGACCAGCCUCUACCUUCCAUGGUAUCUAGGGCAGGGGCCCAAGAAACAAACACCACUGAUUGCCCGGGCUGCCAUUAUUUCACAAGCUUCAGCUGAACACAUUUCUAAGUCACAUUACUCUUCACCAAGGUUUGGUUUUCCUUUAGACCAGCAACUCCUAUAACAUCAGACAGAAUCUCAUUUCUUACCCUAAUGUUCAUGUUUUAAAGCUUUACAAGUGUUACAUUUCAACAGCAGGAAAAAUCCUAUUUCCCAUAAAAGCACAGAAAUCUCUACCCAAGGAAACCGUUUGCCAAUGAAAUGAAAUGUAAAGCUGAUGAUAUGGGUAAUGGUACUCUGAGUUUCCCAGCUUUUUUCAGUCUUCCUGCAUCCAAAGCCCAUUUCUAAAAUAAACUACAUAAACUCUCCAACAAAAGAAUGAAUUUGUGCGAUGCAUAAACAUCUAGACCCCGAGUCUUCAU